Molecule: ribosomal RNA, 566 nt
Filed under: uncultured bacterium
Lineage: Bacteria
Description: partial 16S ribosomal RNA
Rfam family: Bacterial small subunit ribosomal RNA
Source: RNAcentral
UGGGGAAUUUUGGACAAUGGGCGAAAGCCUGAUCCAGCAAUGCCGCGUGUGUGAAGAAGGCCUUCGGGUUGUAAAGCACUUUUGUCCGGAAAGAAAUCCUCUGGGUUAAUACCUCGGGGGGAUGACGGUACCGGAAGAAUAAGCACCGGCUAACUACGUGCCAGCAGCCGCGGUAAUACGUAGGGUGCAAGCGUUAAUCGGAAUUACUGGGCGUAAAGCGUGCGCAGGCGGUUUUGUAAGACGGAUGUGAAAUCCCCGGGCUUAACCUGGGAACUGCAUUCGUGACUGCAAGGCUAGAGUAUGGCAGAGGGGGGUAGAAUUCCACGUGUAGCAGUGAAAUGCGUAGAGAUGUGGAGGAAUACCGAUGGCGAAGGCAGCCCCCUGGGCCAAUACUGACGCUCAUGCACGAAAGCGUGGGGAGCAAACAGGAUUAGAUACCCUGGUAGUCCACGCCCUAAACGAUGUCAACUAGUUGUUGGGGAUUCAUUUCCUUAGUAACGUAGCUAACGCGUGAGGUUGACCGCCUGGGGAGUACGGUCGCAAGAUUAAAACUCAAAUGAAUUGAC